Molecule: long non-coding RNA, 308 nt
Organism: Eptesicus fuscus (big brown bat)
Lineage: Eukaryota; Metazoa; Chordata; Mammalia; Chiroptera; Vespertilionidae
Exons: 3
Source: RefSeq, a predicted model, not a curated record
GUGGAGCCGGUUAACCAGAUAUUGAGCCAGAGCGGGAUAAUUUACCGCAUUUCAGAGAUGAAAAACCAAGGCACCGAGAGACAUGUCCACGAACACACAGCUAGGAGGUGGCAGAGAUGGGAUUCAAACCCAGGCAGCCUGGCUCGAGUCAAUUCUGUGUUACUCCCAUCCUCUUCCCUCAUGCCCAGUAGCCAGGCCAGCUUCCCAUUCUCCGGCUUCCUUUCUGAGGCCUGUUGCCACCAUUCAGGAUGCUCUUCACAGUUGUUCGUAACCAGCACCUAGUUGCCCUGCACCUGCCUUCAGAAGAC